UGCGCGCCUGCUUAGGCCACGCCUUUGAAGUCACUCAAUUGCUCUGUGCGGCCAAACUCAGUCCGGUCGUAGAUAGAUAGGUAGAAUAAACGAAUAAACUUUAUUGUCUAACGGAUAAGGUGAUCUAUCCACCCCCCGACACGCAGGUCAGGGGGCGGGUGCCGCCGCCUCAGCUGCAUGCAGCCUCUUCAGCCAGUUGGACGAGCCAGAACCGGAGCUCAGAGUCUGAGCUGCGGAACAGGGUCUCCCACGUGCCUCUACUACUAAUAUGCACACACAUCAAGCAAGUUUUCAGUGUCCCUGCAGAUGCCUUUGCAAGAAAAUGAGGAGCCACUGAAUAUGUGCCACUUCGACACAAGGAGCAUACAAGCCUUAAAUGCAUUUUUACAUAUGCUUCAAACUUCUUUCUCCUUACACCUGUCCUCCCGGAAUGAACAUCAAACAUUGCCUUCACCCUCACAUCCACGUCUCACAUUGUGGAUCUGCAUGAACUGCUGCUUGCAUUUCUAUGUAUCGUGUGAACGCUGGGGUGCAUAAACAUUGCAUGCUGCACAUUAAAACGAACACAGUCAUAUGCAUUGAAUUAAGUAAUAUAGCGCUAAAGUGCCUUCGUUACAUAUUUUUCACUUCAUAUAUAUUCCGAUAGGUGCAUCGAGUCUGCAUAGUUUACACGUCUCUCUUCACACAAAAUUUAACUGACACAUUUUAAGAAACCUUUACUUAGUUCAUCCAGCAAAUUCAAAGGCAGGAACAUAAAAGAGGCACAGGACUAGCUUUUUUAUACUGUCUUUCUUGUUACUACAGUCAAUUAACCGAAAUGAAGGAAAAUGAAAUCACUGCAAUGAUUCUAUUUUAUUACAACAUUAUUAAAGCUGUAGCGACAGAAAAUUGUCUAUUUGUAUAAUGAGUUGUUAUUCAGGUGGCCCCCUUCCACCGCCAAGUUAGAUUUUUUUUAGCAAUUAAAGAAAGGUCCCUCAGCAUCUGCACUUUUUAUUUGCUACUGAGAAUCUUGUGAGGAGUAUACACUUGCUACCAAAUUGGGCCCCAAGGGUGUUGGUCUUUCCUUAGAGCAAAUGUAAAAGCAAAGAAAAAUAGCAGCUUUUUGCUAGCCAGAAGCAGGCACUUUAAGCACCUGGAGUUUCUUACUAAAUUCAACAUCUCUGUUGGGACUGGCUAUAAAGAGCUUGUAGAAAUGUAUACCCAUGUGAAAGAUCUGUACUUCUAAGCCAUUGAGGGCAAGUAGUCACUACUGAAGAAAAUGUUGUUCCAUACAACAAUUUCCAAUUUAUAAGUUCUACCAAUGCUGCAUCAAGGUGUUUGCUAUUCUGCCUUGCACCUCAGUUUUACUGUACAUAUACAUUUUACCAUGUCACCCGUAGGAAGGGUUUAAUGCUGUUCAUGAGUGCUCUCACAAGCAUUCACCAUCACA
Dermacentor andersoni is the source of this 1429-nucleotide non-coding RNA. The record is from RefSeq and is a predicted model, not a curated record. Lineage: Eukaryota; Metazoa; Arthropoda; Arachnida; Ixodida; Ixodidae.